Molecule: long non-coding RNA, 1416 nt
Organism: Hypomesus transpacificus
Lineage: Eukaryota; Metazoa; Chordata; Actinopteri; Osmeriformes; Osmeridae
Exons: 2
Source: RefSeq, a predicted model, not a curated record
GACCUGACAUUUUGAAAAUGGGGCCUUUCUUGGAGUCAAACUUUGGUAAACUUUUAGGAUGUUUUUAAGUACGUCUGAUACUACUGUAAACCACCGAGAAACCUUUUGUUCGAAUGAUUUGGGGGUCGAGCCAUAUUUGCAGCUGACUAGUAGAGCAACAUCAACCCUUUUCUUUAUACGGACAGACACAACCCUCUUCAAUGUGUGCGUAUGUGUUUCGUGUGUGUAUAUAUGGAACCGCCGCUUCCCCUACCAUUCAUACUCUCCUGAAUCUCUCCUAGGAUGCAUUUGGGGACCUGGCUCUGUUCUUCUGUGACCCCUACGGCGGCACAGUGAUCGCGGUCCUGUGGAAACCAAAAGCCUUCAGCCCCCAGCCAUUCAAGACUUCCCUGAUAGCCGCUCGCCACGUGGAGGUGAGCGAGGACGAGGCCCAUAGCGUACCCAACGUCGAGGCCAUGUUGGAGGACUUCCGAGUCAUGGGCAAGGGCCUGGUCAAGUCAGUGGAUGCCAGGACAGAGAAAUGGAUGGUGUAGACUUUGAAGCUCUGCCUUGCACAGCCGCUUGAUAAACAGAUGCAAGCAUACGUGUGCAUGUACAUGUUCACUAUAUGAACACAAGCAUAUGUAAACCUUGCUUCUCUGCGUGGACCACUGACACAAUGACAUAUUUGUAAGGAUGGUAUUGAUAUACCACCAGACAGGUGGACUUAAUCCCUUAUCUAUAUAAGACUUGGUCUCCCGUUUUGUAUAAUGAAGACAAUUGAAACGAUAUGUAGACUACCCAGCAGUAUGAAAAUACUGCACACUUGUGUAGAUGCAUGCCUCUAACCAUGUGAUCUUUGGCCAUGUUGGUGUCUAAUAACAUCUCAUUAAAUACUUCUUCAAAACAUAUAUCAUUAAAUAACACUUAUUGCCAUAGGCGCAAGAUAUAUAAGUAUUGAUUUGACCAAGGACUUGGUCAACUGUUGGUCUAGGUCAUGUGUUUGGUGACCAGCAGGGGGGGGUAUCUUGUUCAUGCGUACACUGUGUUUGUACACAGUGUAUAGUAGGCGUACUGAGGGAAGAGAUGUUCAGCCGGGUGAAUUAAGGUUUAAGGGAAACCGUUUCACAGGAACCUGUUUUAUAAAGUGUUAUUGUUUGUGUUUUAAAGGUAGGUUUUUUUUGUCCAACUUGUUUAACUGGACUUGGAACAACCUGUAUGACCAGUUCUCAAUCAAAUGUUCUUGGAGAGAUUUUCCUAGAAAUGAACCCCUUAAUUUCCCCGACACACGUCUUCGUGUGUCGUCUUGUUUACAAAUUGGAGAACAUUCCGAACCUUCGGUGAGAGGGUGCUUUGUCCGUUGUAUCAUGUGAUCAAGCCCAAAAUCACACCGACAUUCACGAAUCUCCGCACAUUCUAAUAAACUGUUGUGCAUUA